Molecule: ribosomal RNA, 460 nt
Filed under: uncultured bacterium
Lineage: Bacteria
Description: partial 16S ribosomal RNA
Rfam family: Bacterial small subunit ribosomal RNA
Source: RNAcentral
CCUACGGGUGGCAGCAGUGAGGAAUAUUGGUCAAUGGGCGGGAGCCUGAACCAGCCAAGUCGCGUGAGGGAAGACGGUCCUAUGGAUUGUAAACCUCUUUAGGCGGGGAGCAAUGCCGGGCACGCGUGCCCGGAGGGAGAGUACCCGCAGAAUAAGCAUGAGCUAACUCCGUGCCAGCAGCCGGGGUAGUACGGAGGAUGCUAGCGUUAUCCGGAUUUAUUGGGUUUAAAGGGUGCGUAGGCGGAUUUUUAAGUCAGCGGUAAAAGGGCGGGGCUCAACCCGGGCCGGCCGUUGAUACUGGCGAUCGUGAGUGGGCGAGAAGUAUGCGGAAGGCGAGGUGUAGCGGUGAAAUGCAUAGAUAUCACGCAGAACUCCGAUUGCGAAGGCAGCAUACCGGCGCCCGACUGACGCUGAGGCACGAAAGCGUGGGGAUCGAACAGGAUUAGAUACCCGGGGAGGC